RNAcentral lists this transfer RNA (57 nucleotides) under Loxodonta africana (African savanna elephant). It matches the Rfam family "tRNA", at positions 8 to 63 of the family's 71-position model. From Rfam's summary of the family: Transfer RNA (tRNA) molecules are approximately 80 nucleotides in length. Lineage: Eukaryota; Metazoa; Chordata; Mammalia; Proboscidea; Elephantidae. The record is from Rfam by way of RNAcentral.
UGGCACAGUGGUUAAGCAUUUGGCUGCUAAUCAGAAGUUUGGUGGUUCAAACCCACC